CCUACGGGGCGCAGCAGUGGGGAAUAUUGCACAAUGGGGGGAACCCUGAUGCAGCGACGCCGCGUGAGUGAAGAAGUAUUUCGGUAUGUAAAGCUCUAUCAGCAGGGAAGAAAAUGACGGUACCUGACUAAGAAGCCCCGGCUAACUACGUGCCAGCAGCCGCGGUAAUACGUAGGGGGCAAGCGUUAUCCGGAUUUACUGGGUGUAAAGGGAGCGUAGACGGUUAUGCAAGUCUGAAGUGAAAGCCCAAGGCUCAACCAUGGGACUGCUUUGGAAACUGUGGAACUGGAGUGCUGGAGAGGCAAGCGGAAUUCCUAGUGUAGCGGUGAAAUGCGUAGAUAUUAGGAGGAACACCAGUGGCGAAGGCGGCUUGCUGGACAGUAACUGACGUUGAGGCUCGAAAGCGUGGGGAGCAAACAGGAUUAGAUACCCCAGUAGUC
RNAcentral lists this ribosomal RNA (440 nucleotides) under uncultured bacterium. Its description in RNAcentral is "partial 16S ribosomal RNA". It matches the Rfam family "Bacterial small subunit ribosomal RNA", at positions 338 to 795 of the family's 1533-position model. The record is from RNAcentral.